GUCUAAGAAAACAUAUAUUGCAAAGGUAUAACGUGUUGUGCUGAGACAAGGCAGGUGACUGAACAGAGUCCUGAGCAAGUUCUGUGCAUCUGCCCAAUAUGAUGCAAUUAUCCUCAUGCAGACUGUAUGAUGCUCUUCUAAAAGCCACCACACCUCUUUGGCUGGGGGACUUCUCUUCUUUCAGCCAGACACCGUGGCCUCUUUAUAAAAAUUCAGAAGACCACCGUAUUUCCGAUGAAUCAUACCUGGGCCAAGAAGAGUAAAGGUAAACCAUGAAAUACCAUUGACCUUUCAGUGGACGAUCCAUGGAACUGUUUCAUUCGGAGCAGAUGAAUUUCCUCUGACAAUGUUACUGAUGCAAACUAUGUCUGCCAAAUGCUGUACUGUCUCAUUUGAAAAUCUUACCUUUGAUUUUAAAAGACAGCAUGAGGGAUCUGUUUAUACUCCUUGGCCCUCCCGCGGAUUAUCUGACUGCAGUGGGAUGCCUCACGCCACGAAGCCUGGCUUGGACUCCACGGGGUUGAGGAUGAUCAGAGCUGCUCUCUUUUGCGAAACACACAGGCAUUGAUAUAAAAGCCCUCAAAAUAGUGUCUUCCAAAGGCUCUUGUCUCCUAGGGUUCUUCUUUCAUCUUUCCUCCUCAUAUAAGAGUGAAUACUCCAGAUUCCACCCCUGGGGAGACUUCUGUGAACAACAUUUAAAUACCCAUCACCAGUUAGACUGCAUUCUGAGAGAGGCACUGGAAGCCCCAUCUGGAGAUAUGUGAUGUGUGAGGUCUCACCUUUUGAAAUGGAACGAGCAGAAGAUUCUUGAGGCUUUCUUGCUGUGCAAACCAUUAGGUAUUGAUUGGCUGGACGACUUGGAGUUUGCUGGUUUCAGGUGGUAUUAGGUUUUAUAAAUGUGACUUUGAAAAAAUUUUUACACAAUUUUAAGGGAUGGUGCAUUUUUCUUGGCAAGGCAGCCCAACGCUUUCAAACAGUGAAAAAUCAUCUGAGAGCAUUAGCAGGUUUGAAAAGGAACAUUUAUUAGUUAAUGCUGCCAUUUCUUU
Long non-coding RNA from Suricata suricatta (meerkat), 1046 nucleotides. RefSeq lists it as uncharacterized. The transcript is spliced from 3 exons. The record is from RefSeq and is a predicted model, not a curated record. NCBI's taxonomy places the organism in Eukaryota, Metazoa, Chordata, Mammalia, Carnivora, Herpestidae.